GUGUCUUUAGUUCAAUUGGAUAGAAUAAUGGUCUCCUAAACCGUAGAUGACAGUCCGAUUCUGUCAGGACACA
Molecule: transfer RNA, 73 nt
Filed under: Lactobacillus phage Iacchus
Lineage: Duplodnaviria; Heunggongvirae; Uroviricota; Caudoviricetes; Herelleviridae
Also listed under: 2 other names
Description: tRNA-Arg
Rfam family: tRNA
About the family: Transfer RNA (tRNA) molecules are approximately 80 nucleotides in length. Their secondary structure includes four short double-helical elements and three loops (D, anti-codon, and T loops).
Source: RNAcentral